UACGAAAGGGGCUAGCGUUGUUCGGAAUUACUGGGCGUAAAGCGCACGUAGGCGGCCAUGUAAGUUGGGGGUGAAAUCCCGGGGCUCAACCCCGGAACUGCCUUCAAAACUACAUAGCUAGAGGAUGUGAGAGGAUAGUGGAAUUCCGAGUGUAGAGGUGAAAUUCGUAGAGAUUCGGAAGAACACCGGUGGCGAAGGCGACUGUCUGGCACAUUUCUGACGCUGAGGUGCGAAAGAGUGGGGAUCAAACAGG
This 253-nucleotide ribosomal RNA is filed under the name uncultured bacterium. RNAcentral describes it as "partial 16S ribosomal RNA". It matches the Rfam family "Bacterial small subunit ribosomal RNA", at positions 524 to 776 of the family's 1533-position model. The record is from RNAcentral.